CCAGACUCCUACGGGAGGCAGCAGUAGGGAAUCUUCGGCAAUGGACGAAAGUCUGACCGAGCAACGCCGCGUGAGUGAAGAAGGUUUUCGGAUCGUAAGACUCUGUUGGUAGAGAAGAACGUUGGUGAGAGUGGAAAGCUCAUCAAGUGACGGUAACUACCCAGAAAGGGACGGCUAACUACGUGCCAGCAGCCGCGGUAAUACGUAGGUCCCGAGCGUUGUCCGGAUUUAUUGGGCGUAAAGCGAGCGCAGGUGGUUUAUUAAGUCUGGUGUAAAAGGCAGUGGCUCAACCAUUGUAUGCAUUGAAAACUGGUAGACUUGAGUGCAGGAGAGGAGAGUGGAAUUCCAUGUGUAGCGGUGAAGUGCGUAGAUAUAUGGAGGAACACCGGUGGCGAAAGCGGCUCUCUGGCCUGUAACUGACACUGAGGCUCGAAAGCGUGGGGAGCAAACAGGAUUAGAUACCCUGGUGGUCCACGCCGUAAACGAUGAGUGCUAGAUGUAGGGAGCUAUAAGUUCUCUGUAUCGCAGCUAACGCAAUAAGCACUCCGCCUGGGGAGUACGACCGCAAGGUUGAAACUCAAAGGAAUUGACGGGGGCCCGCACAAG
This 606-nucleotide ribosomal RNA is filed under the name uncultured bacterium. Its description in RNAcentral is "bacterial SSU rRNA". It matches the Rfam family "Bacterial small subunit ribosomal RNA", at positions 331 to 929 of the family's 1533-position model. The record is from RNAcentral.